Molecule: ribosomal RNA, 1346 nt
Filed under: uncultured bacterium
Lineage: Bacteria
Description: partial 16S ribosomal RNA
Rfam family: Bacterial small subunit ribosomal RNA
Source: RNAcentral
GACGAACGCUGGCGGCGUGUUUAACACAUGCAAGUCGAACGGAAAGGCCCUGCUUUUGUGGGGUGCUCGAGUGGCGAACGGGUGAGUAACACGUGAGUAACCUGCCCUUGACUUUGGGAUAACUUCAGGAAACUGGGGCUAAUACCGGAUAGGAGCUCCUGCUGCAUGGUGGGGGUUGGAAAGUUUCGGCGGUUGGGGAUGGACUCGCGGCUUAUCAGCUUGUUGGUGGGGUAGUGGCUUACCAAGGCUUUGACGGGUAGCCGGCCUGAGAGGGUGACUGGCCACAUUGGGACUGAGAUACGGCCCAGACUCCUACGGGAGGCAGCAGUGGGGAAUAUUGCACAAUGGGCGGAAGCCUGAUGCAGCAACGCCGCGUGCGGGAUGACGGCCUUCGGGUUGUAAACCGCUUUCGCCUGUGACGAAGCGUGAGUGACGGUAAUGGGUAAAGAAGCACCGGCUAACUACGUGCCAGCAGCCGCGGUGAUACGUAGGGUGCGAGCGUUGUCCGGAUUUAUUGGGCGUAAAGGGCUCGUAGGUGGUUGAUCGCGUCGGAAGUGUAAUCUUGGGGCUUAACCCUGAGCGUGCUUUCGAUACGGGUUGACUUGAGGAAGGUAGGGGAGAAUGGAAUUCCUGGUGGAGCGGUGGAAUGCGCAGAUAUCAGGAGGAACACCAGUGGCGAAGGCGGUUCUCUGGGCCUUUCCUGACGCUGAGGAGCGAAAGCGUGGGGAGCGAACAGGCUUAGAUACCCUGGUAGUCCACGCUGUAAACGGUGGGUACUAGGUGUGGGGUCCAUUCCACGGGUUCCGUGCCGUAGCUAACGCUUUAAGUACCCCGCCUGGGGAGUACGGCCGCAAGGCUAAAACUCAAAGGAAUUGACGGGGCCCCGCACAAGCGGCGGAGCAUGCGGAUUAAUUCGAUGCAACGCGUAGAACCUUACCUGGGUUUGACAUGGAUCGGGAGUGCUCAGAGAUGGGUGUGCCUCUUUUGGGGUCGGUUCACAGGUGGUGCAUGGCUGUCGUCAGCUCGUGUCGUGAGAUGUUGGGUUAAGUCCCGCAACGAGCGCAACCCUUGUUCACUGUUGCCAGCACGUUAUGGUGGGGACUCAGUGGAGACCGCCGGGGUCAACUCGGAGGAAGGUGGGGAUGACGUCAAGUCAUCAUGCCCCUUAUGUCCAGGGCUUCACGCAUGCUACAAUGGCUGGUACAGAGAGUGGCGAGCCUGUGAGGGUGAGCGAAUCUCGGAAAGCCGGUCUCAGUUCGGAUUGGGGUCUGCAACUCGACCUCAUGAAGUCGGAGUCGCUAGUAAUCGCAGAUCAGCAACGCUGCGGUGAAUACGUUCCCGGGGCU